This 253-nucleotide ribosomal RNA is filed under the name uncultured bacterium. RNAcentral describes it as "partial 16S ribosomal RNA". It matches the Rfam family "Bacterial small subunit ribosomal RNA", at positions 524 to 776 of the family's 1533-position model. The record is from RNAcentral.
GACGAAGGGGGCUAGCGUUGUUCGGAAUCACUGGGCGUAAAGGGCGCGUAGGCGGCCGAUCAAGUCGGGGGUGAAAGCCUGUGGCUUAACCACAGAAUGGCCUUCGAUACUGUUUGGCUUGAGACCGGAAGAGGUUAGUGGAACUGCGAGUGUAGAGGUGAAAUUCGUAGAUAUUCGCAAGAACACCAGUGGCGAAGGCGGCUGACUGGUCCGGUUCUGACGCUGAGGCGCGAAAGCGUGGGAAGCAAACAGG